AUGAAAUCUUCGAGAAAAGCUACAAAAUUGAGACAACCCAAGCCUAAAGAGCAUGGUGGAGAGCAAAAUGCAGCCGCAGGGCAGGUUGAGACAAACCAACAAGGACUUUCUUUGGAGAGGAAGAUCGAACUCGAGAAGCAGAGACGAUUUACCCUGAUCAACGAGGUCAACCGCUUAACGGCUGCAGUUAAAGAAAGACAGGACAAGCUAGAAGGUUUAAAGAAAGUGAUAGCCCUUCAGCACUCAGAGAAAAACACAGAAGAAACAGAGAAACAAUAUCAGGAAAUUCAUCAGCUGGAGAUCAGCCUGAAGAGGAUGAAAGAUAGGACGGAGGAGAAGAGAAAAGACAUCGCUGUUGCUAGAUCAGUUUCUGCAAACCUGAACUUGGUCCAGAUGAAAAACGAGGCUCUGGAACAGAGAAAGGAAAUGAGUGCUGAGAUGCAGAAGCUCCUCGCUCAUCAGAAGGAGGCCCAAACUGGUUUACAGGCCAUGAGACAGAGUGUCCUGAUCCCAGGGAAUAAUCUGGCAGAAGCUGAUGUCCAACUGCUAGAGAAUGGCUUGGAGGACACGACAGACUUUUUGGACUUCGGUGAAAUUAAGCAACUCACGGAAGCGUACCUCAUCAAUGAAGACAUCAGAGAGAAGCAAUACAUCCUGAAAAACCUGAAGCUUGACUACAUGAUCCUCCAGCACAGUGACAAAGCAAAGUGGCAAAGUUCCGACAAUGUCACGGAAGAGGGAAUGAUGGAGCUGAAUAAGGAAGUGCACCGUGUGGAAGACCUGAGGGCUGCUCUGAAGGAGCCCCAAGCUCUGUUGUCCGCUGCUGAGCAGAAGAUCGAUGCCGUGUGUCUUCGACUGAACUGCAUACCUUUAGAGGAAUUAUCAUCAAUGUCCAACAAGAAAAAAAUAAGGAGAAUCCGCAUCCAGCUCAACUCGCAGAAGACUGACAAGAGCAGCAAUCAGAAGAAGGUUUAUAACAUGGAAGGUGAGAGAAACAACCAGACCCAAAUCGCUUCGCCACCCGAGGAGAUGUGAUGUUUCAUUAUAAUGUUCCAUAAUUCAUAACUAAUAUCCAGGAGCUUGCUGGACAACGUUGGAAAUGUUCCAACGCUGAAACAUUUCUGCACAAGUGCUUUUGUUUGAGCUUCAGAAGCUCGUCAAAGAGGUCAUUCGCUCUUGUUUUAACACAUUUGAAGUGGUCUCUAGUAGGAAUGAAGGCCUUUUAGGCCAGACUCGACAGGAAAAAAAGCUCCGGUGUGCGACAGAAUUUGGAGUUGCAAACAGCAACACAACUCUACCCCUGACUCUGGCCCUGUCCACACGUAGCCGGGGAUCUGCCAAAACGUAGAUAUUUUUCUACGUUUUGGCCUGUCAUCCACACGAAAACGGAGUUUUUUCACACGAAAACGGAUCUUUUUAAAAACUCCGGCCAAAGUGAAGAUCUGCGUUUUCUCCGUUUUGGGUGUCUGCGUGUGGACGGACAAAACCGGAGUUUUAAGGUCCACAACGUCACUUUCCACGACAAAAAAAUGCUGACAUCACGUGUGCGACCUGUGUUUACACUAGCCGACAUCAUGGAAGCCUUCAGAGCUGCGCUCGCUUUAUCAAUUGUCCAAGCGCUUUUUGCUUGAUUGUUUUUGCAAGCGGAAUUACUGCUCCUUGCGGAAGACCACAGACGAAGGACGACGUUAAGAACGGGGGAAGUACUGCCACCUACAGGUCUGGGAUGUCCUUAACAACGUAUUUAUCCGGGUACGUGUGGACAGA
Molecule: long non-coding RNA, 1767 nt
Organism: Nothobranchius furzeri (turquoise killifish)
Lineage: Eukaryota; Metazoa; Chordata; Actinopteri; Cyprinodontiformes; Nothobranchiidae
Source: Ensembl